Molecule: transfer RNA, 91 nt
Filed under: Mesomycoplasma lagogenitalium
Lineage: Bacteria; Bacillati; Mycoplasmatota; Mycoplasmoidales; Metamycoplasmataceae
Description: tRNA-Ser
Rfam family: tRNA
About the family: Transfer RNA (tRNA) molecules are approximately 80 nucleotides in length. Their secondary structure includes four short double-helical elements and three loops (D, anti-codon, and T loops). Further hydrogen bonds mediate the characteristic L-shaped molecular structure. tRNAs have two regions of fundamental functional importance: the anti-codon, which is responsible for specific mRNA codon recognition, and the 3' end, to which the tRNAs corresponding amino acid is attached (by aminoacyl-tRNA synthetases). tRNAs cope with the degeneracy of the genetic code in two manners: having more than one tRNA (with a specific anti-codon) for a particular amino acid; and 'wobble' base-pairing, i.e. permitting non-standard base-pairing at the 3rd anti-codon position.
Source: RNAcentral
GGAACAGUACCCAAGAGGCUGAAGGGGAUACGUUGGAAACGUAUUAGGAGAGGCAACUCUCGCGCAGGUUCAAAUCCUGUCUGUUCCGCCA